This 1092-nucleotide long non-coding RNA is filed under the name Homo sapiens (human). RNAcentral describes it as "long intergenic non-protein coding RNA 2450". Lineage: Eukaryota; Metazoa; Chordata; Mammalia; Primates; Hominidae. The record is from RNAcentral.
AGUCUCUGAGGGCCACAGCUUCAUUUACAUGAGGUGAACACAAAGUGGCCAAUGGGAAAUCUCUAGGGGGUAUUUGGACCUGAGAAGAUUCUAUAUCCAGGCCCUUGAGCUGCUGCCGCUGCCGGCUCCCACACUGUGGAGUGUACUUUCACUUUCAAUAAGUCUCUGCUUUUGUUGUAUCAUUCUUUCCUUGCUUUGCUGUGUGUUUUGUCCAAUUCUUUGUUCAAAAUGCCAAGAACCUGGCCAACUUGGAGUCAAGACCCUCUACCGAACUUGAAGAUUUUUAGUGUUAUGCCUACUCUGCCAAUUCUUGGAACAUUUGCGGAACUGAGAAUUUACUUCUUCGUUUAUUACUUCCUAACUACAUUUUAAAGCACAGAUGAUGGCUGAAUAGGAACAGCUCCGGUCUGCAGCUCCCAGCGAGAUCAACGCAGAAGGCGGGUGAUUUCUGCAUUUCCAACUGAGGGUGUAACACUGUGACCAACGAAGAGAGUGUUUUCUAUCAGUGACUCGCAGACUUCCCUUUCACUGGAAUCCAGCUUAUUAGCUGCAUGGUUAACUUUGGAGCCAGGAAAACAUCCUGCACAUGACACUGCCAUCAAGCAGAGGAGACAUGUUUCUCGGCUUCCCCUCUCUGGGACUUAAUAGCCUCUGAAGGCUAGCCUUUACUGACUCAUGAAGCUGUGUCUGCCUGGGGUCAGUGGUGGAGACAUUGCGUUAACCCCAGCAAGCGAGCCAUCACCAGAGCUUUGCACAGGGAGACACCACAUAGAAAGGCAGAUGAGGCAACACACACACCAUCCCCAGACAGCCAUGGGUCCCCAGAGACAGGAAAAAUAUGUGUUUUCUUAAAGAAUUAGAAAAGAAAACCUUGCUUUUUCCUGUGUGGCUCAUUGGUAGGAGAUCUCAAAUUCUAACCCUUGUUUUCUCUUUUACCUCUCUGUCUGCUAAAAAGCACUCCUUAGAUCCAGUAUCUAGCAUGGUGAGCCUCCUGGAUGCAGUGCUGCAGUGGCCACUGCUGGGUCAAAAACAAACACUGGGAAAGGAGGAAAAUGAUGUUUUUCUCUCUUUCAAUAAAGCAUUUGAAAUCUC